This 460-nucleotide ribosomal RNA is filed under the name uncultured bacterium. RNAcentral describes it as "partial 16S ribosomal RNA". It matches the Rfam family "Bacterial small subunit ribosomal RNA", at positions 338 to 795 of the family's 1533-position model. The record is from RNAcentral.
CCUACGGGAGGCAGCAGUGAGGAAUAUUGGUCAAUGGGCGCGAGCCUGAACCAGCCAAGUAGCGUGAGGGAUGACUGCCCUACGUGUUGUAAACUUCUUUUAUAAAGGAAUAAAGUGAGGCACGUGUGCCUUUUUGUAUGUCCUUUAUGAAUAAGGAUCGGCUAACUCCGUGCCAGCAGCCGCGGUAAUACGGAGGAUCCGAGCGUUAUCCGGAUUUAUUGGGUUUAAAGGGAGCGUAGAUGGGUGUGUAAGUCAGUUGGGAAAGUUUGCGGCUCAACCGCAAAAUUGCAAUUGAUACUGGCAGGCUUGAGUACAGGUGAGGUAGGCGGAAUUCGUGGUGUAGCGGUGAAAUGCUUAGAUAUCACGAAGAACUCCGAUUGCGAAGGCAGCUUACUAAACUGCCACUGACAUUGAUGCUCGAAAGUGUGGGUAUCAAACAGGAUUAGAUACCCCAGUAGUC